AAAGCCCGACUGUGUGCGUGGUUGGUCCGAAUUAGUUAUUACCCAGCACCAGAUGAAAAAAGGAGCCUGCGGUCCGGCAGCGGCGUGGUAGUCCCGGCUUCGGUUGGGAAAUCGCAACGCGAACGGCAAGGCUCCGCCCGUGUGCCUACGCGGGUAUACAACUAAGGGGACAAACGGCACAGUGGGGCUUUC
This 192-nucleotide non-coding RNA is filed under the name Armatimonadota bacterium. RNAcentral's name for it is "Armatimonadetes bacterium (anaerobic digester metagenome) 6S RNA". It matches the Rfam family "6S / SsrS RNA". Rfam says of the family: E. coli 6S RNA was the first non coding RNA to be sequenced, but its function was unknown until recently. The record is from RNAcentral. Lineage: Bacteria; Bacillati; Armatimonadota.